AAAAGCCCGAAAGCCUGAUGCAGCCAUGCCGCGUGUAUGAAGAAGGCCUUCGGGUUGUAAAGUACUUUCAGUUGUGAGGAAGGGGGUAACGUUAAUAGCGUUAUCUCUUGACGUUAGCAACAGAAGAAGCACCGGCUAACUCCGUGCCAGCAGCCGCGGUAAUACGGAGGGUGCGAGCGUUAAUCGGAAUUACUGGGCGUAAAGCGCAUGCAGGUGGUUCAUUAAGUCAGAUGUGAAAGCCCGGGGCUCAACCUCGGAACUGCAUUUGAAACUGGUGAACUAGAGUGCUGUAGAGGGGGGUAGAAUUUCAGGUGUAGCGGUGAAAUGCGUAGAGAUCUGAAGGAAUACCAGUGGCGAAGGCGGUCCCCUGGACAGACACUGACACUCAGAUGCGAAAGCGUGGGGAGCAAACAGGAUUAGAUACCCUGGUAGUUCACGCCGUAAACUAUGGUUACUUUGAGGUUGUGGCCUUGAGCCGCGGCUUUUUUUGGUAAACCGUUAAGUAGACCGCCUGGGGAGUACUGUCGCAAGAUUAAAACUCAAAUGAAUUGACGGGGGCCC
RNAcentral lists this ribosomal RNA (561 nucleotides) under uncultured bacterium. RNAcentral's name for it is "bacterial SSU rRNA". It matches the Rfam family "Bacterial small subunit ribosomal RNA", at positions 370 to 922 of the family's 1533-position model. The record is from RNAcentral.